This 2146-nucleotide long non-coding RNA is filed under the name Nicotiana benthamiana. RNAcentral describes it as "long non-coding RNA (NBEN_LNC029321)". Lineage: Eukaryota; Viridiplantae; Streptophyta; Magnoliopsida; Solanales; Solanaceae. The record is from RNAcentral.
GCUAGUUGGUGAUCCUCUCCUUAGAGUCAAGUGGCUUUCAGCUCCUCUCAAAUAUAUUUUUCAUCGACAACAACAACAACAACCCAGUAUAAUCCUACUUAGUAGGGUCUGGGGAGGGUAGUGUGUACGCAGACCUUACCCCUACCCUUGGGUAGAGAGGCUGUUUCCAAAUAGACCCCCGGCAUCCUUCCCUCCAAGAACUUCCCACCUUGCUCUUGGCCUCUUGGGGAGACUCGAACUCACAACCUCUCGGUUGGAAGUGGGGGUUGCUUACCAUCAGAGCAACCCCUCUUGUCUUAUUUUUUCAUCGACAGGUAGGGUGAAUUCUAAGGUUCCUUAUUCCGGUCGUAAAGUGGAAGAAGCAUCGACAAAAAAAAAAGAGUAGCCUCCCUAGAACCUGGCAAAGUCAUUAUCAAUGAAUUCCCGAGCAAUUCUCAACCAGCCGAAGAAGACCCUGGCCAAUCCACGUGGCGCUUGACGAACAUCAGCGACGGAGACAUCGUAAAUUGGUCCGCGGGCAUCGCGAUAAGUCCUCUGUCCUGUCCUACUACAGGUGCUGCGACAACCUUGGACUAAAAAACAUUCACUAAUGCAUACUCAGCAAUCAGCAUCAUAUUCACUCAGUCUAAUCAGCGGAGAGCAAGGACUGAAACAUAAAGAGAACUCCUUCCCCAGCAAUGAUGCUAAUGGUUAAUAAACAGAUAGGUGGAUAUCAUUCAAGCCCUCUUAACAAUCUCACUAGACACUUUUUGCUAAGCUCGAACCAAUUAUCAGACUAGUGAACUUAGGUUGAAAUCAAACACCAAAUAGUGCAGGACUGCCUACAUGUAAAAGAAAUUAACGAUUUGAAGAUUAGUUAAGAAUUAGAUCUUAAUGUGACUCAACACUAUCAGAUAAAGAAUGUCCAAUGUGUCCCUUGGGAAAAAGAAACACCAUUUGAGUGACCUCAGUGUCAAGAAAGUACUCUAGCUUACUUAAACCCUUGGUUCGAAAAUGACUGGCCAGCUGAUUCUUCAAUUGGGUGAUUUUCUCAUAGUGAUUACAUGUGACUAAGUUAUCAAAUAUAUGCCCAUGAGUUAUGACAAUAGAAAACUGAGUGGUCGCUUCAGCAUUUUCAUGCCAAUCAGAAUCUGAUCCUGACGUGUUCGAUACAGUAAUUAAUAUCAAGAAGCGGUUGCUCGAAGGACAGUACCACAAUUUUCCAGUUUUUCUUUUUUUAUCAAGAGAAUAAAUUUCAUUCAUUCAGCAUCCAGAAGAUGCAAAAAGAUUACAAAAAAGACAGCUUCUGUACAAUGUCAGAUGACUCCUAGGAAAUCUUACAAAAUCCAAAAGAGUGUCAAUACUAUCUGAGAAAGCAGUAAUAUAGCACGCAACAGGAAGAAGAAAGGUUUGAUCCGCUCGGUUUAGAUAAUUCCCAUGGGCCAAUAAGACGGUGUUUAGGAAGGCAGCCAACUAUCUUUCAGUAGGGAUUAUCAUUUCCAGUCUGGCUCUCGAAGACUCAAUAUCAGAGGAAGGUUUUUUGCAAAUUAGUCCCGCAUUAGUAUCUGAAUUAGUCGAAUAAAAUUCUAAUAUAAUAGAGUAAGAUUCGAGGCUCACUAUCAUAGGCGGAUAUAAAGUCCUAUCUUGUAGCUACAGAUGAAAUCCAAUCCUGCAGCAGCUAGUUGCUCGGCCUUAGUCUUGGGCUGAUCUCAGACUUCAAUCAACCCCUUCGUACUCCGAUCGGGAUUUGUUGAUCGGAAAGCUCAGGCAGGAGUAGGACAUUCCAUACAAACCUUUCUGAUCCGCUAGUUGGUGAUCCUCUCCUUAGAGUCAAGUGGCUUUCAGCUCCUCUCAAAUAUAUUUUUUCAUCGACAACAACAACAACAACCCAGUAUAAUCCUACUUAGUAGGGUCUGGGGAGGGUAGUGUGUACGCAGACCUUACCCCUACCCUUGGGUAGAGAGGCUGUUUCCAAAUAGACCCCCGGCAUCCUUCCCUCCAAGAACUUCCCACCUUGCUCUUGGCCUCUUGGGGAGACUCGAACUCACAACCUCUCGGUUGGAAGUGGGGGUUGCUUACCAUCAGAGCAACCCCUCUUGUCUUAUGUUUUCAUCGACAGGUAGGGUGAAUUCUAAGGUUCCUUAUUCCGGUCGUAAAGUGGAAGAAG